Molecule: ribosomal RNA, 119 nt
Organism: Gadus morhua (Atlantic cod)
Lineage: Eukaryota; Metazoa; Chordata; Actinopteri; Gadiformes; Gadidae
Source: Ensembl
GCUUACGGCCAUACCACCUUAGGCACGCCCGAUCUCGUCUGAUCUCGGAAGCUAAGCAGGGUCGGGCCUGGUUAGUACUUGGAUGGGUGACCGCCUGGGAAUACCAGGUGCUGUACAUU